Molecule: ribosomal RNA, 292 nt
Filed under: uncultured bacterium
Lineage: Bacteria
Also listed under: 2 other names
Description: partial 16S ribosomal RNA
Source: RNAcentral
GGACUACACGGGUAUCUAAUCCCGUUCGCUCCCCUGGCUUUCGCGCCUCAGCGUCAGGUGAGGCCCAGCACGUCGCUUUCGCCACCGGCGUUCCUUCCGAUAUCAACGCAUUUCACCGCUCCACCGGAAGUUCCACGUGCCCCUACCCCCCUCCAGACCGUCGGUAUCCCAGGCAGUUCCACCGUUAAGCGGUGGAUUUUCACCCCGGACCAGACGGCCCGCCUACGCGCCCUUUAAGCCCAGUGAUUCCGAACAACGUUCGCACGGUUCGUCUUACCGCGGCUGCUGGCAC